This 253-nucleotide ribosomal RNA is filed under the name uncultured bacterium. Its description in RNAcentral is "partial 16S ribosomal RNA". It matches the Rfam family "Bacterial small subunit ribosomal RNA", at positions 524 to 776 of the family's 1533-position model. The record is from RNAcentral.
UACGUAGGGUGCAAGCGUUAAUCGGAAUGACUGGGCGUAAAGGGUGUGUAGGCGGUUUGUUAAGUCGGAUGUGAAAUCCCCGGGCUCAACCUGGGAACUGCAUUUGUGACUGUAGAGCUGGAGUACGGUAGAGGGGGAUGGAAUUCCGCGUGUAGCAGUGAAAUGCGUAGAUAUGCGGAGGAACACCGAUGGCGAAGGCAAUCCCCUGGGCCUGCACUGACGCUCAUGCACGAAAGCGUGGGGAGCAAACAGG